RNAcentral lists this unclassified non-coding RNA (284 nucleotides) under Hevea brasiliensis (rubber tree). The record is from RNAcentral. Lineage: Eukaryota; Viridiplantae; Streptophyta; Magnoliopsida; Malpighiales; Euphorbiaceae.
UGAUAAUGUGUUAGCUCACAAUCAAUUGAUGACCAACAACUACUCAUCAUCUCUUUCUCUACAUUAAACCCUAAUUCACGUAACAAGUAGACCUCUCUCUUCUCUUCAACCACCUUCAAGAUCUUCUCAAACACGGAUACUUGGCAUGGGAUCUUUAACACUCCCUCUUGUUGAAACCCAAACUCCUUUUCUGCCUCUCGCAGCAGUAUCCCAAAGGCUUGAUGGCCCAAGUACUCUGUAGGAAUCACAUAUCUCUUCAACUCUUUCCCAACACAAACGGCGAG